GCAAACUUGGUCAUUUAGAGGAAGUAAAAGUCGUAACAAGGUUUCCGUAGGUGAACCUGCGGAAGGAUCAUUACUUGAGAAGCCGCGCGGGCGAUUCUGCGGGCCCCCUAAGCAAAAAUUUGGGGGGAUUGGUCCCGUCCGCGCGCCCCGUCAAUCAUCGGGCUACCGGUGUAUGUCGCACUUUGUAUCUUGAAACCCUCUGUAAUGAGAAGUAUCAGUCUGUAAGAAUAAAUUCUUCACAACUUUCAACAAUGGAUCUCUUGGCUCUGGCAUCGAUGAAGAACGCAGC
This 289-nucleotide unclassified non-coding RNA is filed under the name uncultured fungus. RNAcentral's name for it is "partial contains small subunit ribosomal RNA, internal transcribed spacer 1, and 5.8S ribosomal RNA". The stretch from base 1 to 73 matches the Rfam family "Eukaryotic small subunit ribosomal RNA", at positions 1759 to 1831 of the family's 1831-position model. The record is from RNAcentral. Lineage: Eukaryota; Fungi.